RNAcentral lists this ribosomal RNA (301 nucleotides) under uncultured bacterium. RNAcentral describes it as "partial 16S ribosomal RNA". It matches the Rfam family "Bacterial small subunit ribosomal RNA", at positions 509 to 807 of the family's 1533-position model. The record is from RNAcentral.
CAGUAGCCGCGGUAAUACGUAGGGUGCGAGCGUUAAUCGGAAUUACUGGGCGUAAAGCGUGCGCAGGCGGUGAUGUAAGACAGUUGUGAAAUCCCCGGGCUCAACCUGGGAACUGCAUUUGUGACUGCAUCGCUGGAGUGCGGCAGAGGGGGAUGGAAUUCCGCGUGUAGCAGUGAAAUGCGUAGAUAUGCGGAGGAACACCGAUGGCGAAGGCAAUCCCCUGGGCCUGCACUGACGCUCAUGCACGAAAGCGUGGGGAGCAAACAGGAUUAGAUACCCCAGUAGUCCCUGUCUCUUAUAC